GAGAGCAUAUAUAUAAAAUCUCUCAUCGCCGUAUCGCCUCUGAGAAAAUCCGUUCCGAGUUUAGUAGAGAGAGAGCUCCUACCACACCGAAGAGGAUUUAGGAAAUGGCAGAGUCGAAGGUUGUAGUUCCGGAGUCGGUGCUGAA
Camelina sativa (false flax) is the source of this 145-nucleotide non-coding RNA. The record is from RefSeq and is a predicted model, not a curated record. Lineage: Eukaryota; Viridiplantae; Streptophyta; Magnoliopsida; Brassicales; Brassicaceae.